This 389-nucleotide ribosomal RNA is filed under the name uncultured bacterium. Its description in RNAcentral is "bacterial SSU rRNA". It matches the Rfam family "Bacterial small subunit ribosomal RNA", at positions 28 to 418 of the family's 1533-position model. The record is from RNAcentral.
GACGAACGCUGGCGGCGUGCUUAACACAUGCAAGUCGAGCGGUAAGGCCCUUUCGGGGGUACACGAGCGGCGAACGGGUGAGUAACACGUGGGUGACCUGCCCUCAGCUCUGGGAUAAGCCUGGGAAACCGGGUCUAAUACCGGAUAUGACUCCAUGACGCAUGUUGUGGGGUGGAAAGCCUUGUGCGGCUGAGGAUGGGCCCGCGGCCUAUCAGCUUGUUGGUGGGGGAUGGCCUACCAAGGCGACGACGGGUAGCCGGCCUGAGAGGGCGACCGGCCACACUGGGACUGAGACACGGCCCAGACUCCUACGGGAGGCAGCAGUGGGGAAUCUUGCGCAAUGGGCGAAAAGCCUGACGCAGCGACGCCGCGUGAGGGAUGACGGCCUC